This 353-nucleotide transfer-messenger RNA is filed under the name Acidobacteriota bacterium. Its description in RNAcentral is "Acidobacteria bacterium transfer-messenger RNA". It matches the Rfam family "transfer-messenger RNA". Rfam says of the family: Bacterial tmRNA, also known as 10Sa RNA or SsrA, is named for its dual tRNA and mRNA-like properties. Its role is to liberate the mRNA from a stalled ribosome. To accomplish this part of the tmRNA is used as a reading frame that ends in a translation stop signal. The record is from RNAcentral. Lineage: Bacteria; Pseudomonadati; Acidobacteriota. RNAcentral also lists the same sequence under 4 other names.
GGGGGCGAUACGGCUUCGACGGAGGUAUGAAACCGCGGGAUGCAUGCCGAGCACCAUCGACUCGCUAAUCCGAUGGAACACAACCAUAACUGCGAACGAGCAGCUACCACUCGCCGCCUAAGGGCGACGACGUUCACCCCGUUCUUGCCUGCGAGGCGGGACUGAAUGUCAUUUCAGCAGGCUGGUCGUGCCGUGCCGUACCGACGCGGAACGACGAGACGGUUUCGGGACUAGCCAGUAGCGGUUUGGGCGGCUCUUCUACGCCGCUGGCGAAACUUCAAGAGCCGACACGCAUGUAGAGUCUCACGGGCACGUACUUUCGGACGCGGGUUCGACUCCCGCCGCCUCCACCA